CCACACCCGUUCCCAUACCGAACACGGAAGUUAAGCUCUUCAGCGCCAAUGGUAGUUGGGGGUUUCCCCCUGCAAGAGUAGGACGUCGCCGGGC
RNAcentral lists this ribosomal RNA (94 nucleotides) under Falsibacillus pallidus. Lineage: Bacteria; Bacillati; Bacillota; Bacilli; Caryophanales; Bacillaceae. The record is from RNAcentral.